Molecule: ribosomal RNA, 1371 nt
Filed under: uncultured bacterium
Lineage: Bacteria
Description: bacterial SSU rRNA
Rfam family: Bacterial small subunit ribosomal RNA
Source: RNAcentral
GAUGAACGCUGGCGGCGUGCCUAAUACAUGCAAGUCGAGCGAACGGACGAGAAGCUUGCUUCUCUGAUGUUAGCGGCGGACGGGUGAGUAACACGUGGAUAACCUACCUAUAAGACUGGGAUAACUUCGGGAAACCGGAGCUAAUACCGGAUAAUAUUUUGAACCGCAUGGUUCAAAAGUGAAAGACGGUCUUGCUGUCACUUAUAGAUGGAUCCGCGCUGCAUUAGCUAGUUGGUAAGGUAACGGCUUACCAAGGCAACGAUGCAUAGCCGACCUGAGAGGGUGAUCGGCCACACUGGAACUGAGACACGGUCCAGACUCCUACGGGAGGCAGCAGUAGGGAAUCUUCCGCAAUGGGCGAAAGCCUGACGGAGCAACGCCGCGUGAGUGAUGAAGGUCUUCGGAUCGUAAAACUCUGUUAUUAGGGAAGAACAUAUGUGUAAGUAACUGUGCACAUCUUGACGGUACCUAAUCAGAAAGCCACGGCUAACUACGUGCCAGCAGCCGCGGUAAUACGUAGGUGGCAAGCGUUAUCCGGAAUUAUUGGGCGUAAAGCGCGCGUAGCGGUUUUUUAAGUCUGAUGUGAAAGCCCACGGCUCAACCGUGGAGGGUCAUUGGAAACUGGAAAACUUGAGUGCAGAAGAGGAAAGUGGAAUUCCAUGUGUAGCGGUGAAAUGCGCAGAGAUAUGGAGGAACACCAGUGGCGAAGGCGACUUUCUGGUCUGUAACUGACGCUGAUGUGCGAAAGCGUGGGGAUCGAACAGGAUUAGAUACCCUGGUAGUCCACGCCGUAAACGAUGAGUGCUAAGUGUUAGGGGGUUUCCGCCCCUUAGUGCUGCAGCUAACGCAUUAAGCACUCCGCCUGGGGAGUACGACCGCAAGGUUGAAACUCAAAGGAAUUGACGGGGACCCGCACAAGCGGUGGAGCAUGUGGUUUAAUUCGAAGCAACGCGAAGAACCUUACCAAAUCUUGACAUCCUUUGACAACUCUAGAGAUAGAGCUUUCCCCUUCGGGGGACAAAGUGACAGGUGGUGCAUGGUUGUCGUCAGCUCGUGUCGUGAGAUGUUGGGUUAAGUCCCGCAACGAGCGCAACCCUUAAGCUUAGUUGCCAUCAUUAAGUUGGGCACUCUAAGUUGACUGCCGGUGACAAACCGGAGGAAGGUGGGGAUGACGUCAAAUCAUCAUGCCCCUUAUGAUUUGGGCUACACACGUGCUACAAUGGACAAUACAAAGGGCAGCGAAACCGCGAGGUCAAGCAAAUCCCAUAAAGUUGUUCUCAGUUCGGAUUGUAGUCUGCAACUCGACUACAUGAAGCUGGAAUCGCUAGUAAUCGUAGAUCAGCAUGCUACGGUGAAUACGUUCCCGGGUCU